UGGUAUUUGGAGGCAUUGCCUGCCAGUGACAACUGUUUAACGGCCGCGGUAUCCUGACCGUGCAAAGGUAGCAUAAUCAUUUGUUCUCUAAAUAAGGACUUGUAUGAAUGGCCGCACGAGGGUUUUACUGUCUCUUACUUCCAAUCAGUGAAAUUGACCUUCCCGUGAAGAGGCGGGAAUGCACAAAUAAGACGAGAAGACCCUAUGGAGCUUUAACUAACCAACCCAAAGAGAAUAGAUUUAACCAUUAAGGAAUAACAACAAUCUCCAUGAGUUGGUAGUUUCGGUUGGGGUGACCUCGGAGAAUAAAAAAUCCUCCGAGCGAUUUUAAAGACUAGACCCACAAGUCAAAUCACUCUAUCGCUCAUUGAUCCAAAAACUUGAUCAACGGAACAAGUUACCCUAGGGAUAACAGCGCAAUCCUAUUCAAGAGUCCAUAUCGACAAUAGGGUUUACGACCUCGAUGUUGGAUCAGGACAUCCUGAUGGUGCAACCGCUAUCAAAGGUUCGUUUGUUCAACGAUUAAAGUCCUACGUGAUCUGAGUUCAGACCGGA
RNAcentral lists this ribosomal RNA (555 nucleotides) under Phascolosoma esculenta. RNAcentral describes it as "partial 16S ribosomal RNA". It matches the Rfam family "Bacterial large subunit ribosomal RNA", at positions 1841 to 2620 of the family's 2925-position model. The record is from RNAcentral. Lineage: Eukaryota; Metazoa; Annelida; Sipuncula; Phascolosomatiformes; Phascolosomatidae.